CCGUAGCCCAAGAGAUCGGGAUAACACCUGGAAACAGAUGCUAAUACCGGAUAACAACAGAUGAUGCCUAUCAACUGUUUAAAAGAUGGUUCUGCUAUCACUCUUGGAUGGACCUGCGGUGCAUUAGCUAGUUGGUAAGGUAACGGCUUACCAAGGCGAUGAUGCAUAGCCGAGUUGAGAGACUGAUCGGCCACAUUGGGACUGAUACACGGCCCAAACUCCUACGGGAGGCAGCAGCC
RNAcentral lists this ribosomal RNA (239 nucleotides) under uncultured Lactobacillus sp. RNAcentral's name for it is "partial 16S ribosomal RNA". It matches the Rfam family "Bacterial small subunit ribosomal RNA", at positions 125 to 355 of the family's 1533-position model. The record is from RNAcentral. Lineage: Bacteria; Bacillati; Bacillota; Bacilli; Lactobacillales; Lactobacillaceae.